This 253-nucleotide ribosomal RNA is filed under the name uncultured bacterium. Its description in RNAcentral is "partial 16S ribosomal RNA". It matches the Rfam family "Bacterial small subunit ribosomal RNA", at positions 524 to 776 of the family's 1533-position model. The record is from RNAcentral.
UACGUAGGGGGCAAGCGUUGUCCGGAAUCAUUGGGCGUAAAGCGCGUGUAGGCGGUUCGGUAAGUCAGCUGUGAAAGUCCAGGGCUCAACCCUGGAAAGCCGGUUGAUACUGCCGGGCUAGAGUGCGGAAGAGGCGAGUGGAAUUCCUGGUGUAGCGGUGAAAUGCGCAGAUAUCAGGAGGAACACCAAUUGCGAAGGCAGCUCGCUGGGACGUUACUGACGCUGAGACGCGAAAGCGUGGGGAGCAAACAGG